This 4125-nucleotide long non-coding RNA is filed under the name Sus scrofa (pig). RNAcentral describes it as "lncRNA (ENSSSCG00000054099.1)". The record is from RNAcentral. Lineage: Eukaryota; Metazoa; Chordata; Mammalia; Artiodactyla; Suidae.
GAAAAAAAAAAGAAAGAAAAAAGAAAUAGAAAACCUGGAGUCUACUCCUCAUCACUUCUUUACCUUAAUGAAUUUGGGGCAAUUCACUUAAUCUCUGAGUCUCAAUUACCGAAGGCAGAAGGCUGGAUCUAAUCCUCUUUUAAGAGUAUCUUUCAAUGGUAAGAUCUUAGAAUUUUUCUUGGGAAAGUAGCUGUCUUCAUUUCAGGAAGCACCAUGAUAAGCCCCUAGGGCAUAAGGGCUGGCUAGGGCUCAGGCAACCAAAAAGAACCAAAAGGCUGCACUUGCAAAAGCAGGAAACUAAUUUUUCUUGGAAGUUGGUUUGGGGAGAAGGUGUGCCUUAUAGGGCAGAGGAUUGAGAAGAGGAGGGGAGGGCUAGGAUAUUGUUGGAGUAAGGGCCCUGCAUGCAGUAAAAGCCAGUAAGAAACCUCCAGUAGGGAAUGAUCAAAAGGAUGUUUAUGAACCAGGAAGGCUGAAAAGUGCUUUGUGGAGUAAUGGGCAAUGUGACCCUUCAUCAAGACCUCCACAUCUUAGUGAACUUGGGCACACUAAUGUUCUUUGUGAGUGGGGGCUUGUUGAAAGAGGACUAAGGGAUCAUAUAGGUUUGCUGGGGAACAGAGAUGGUUUCAGUAAAGCUGGACCUGGGAGGCAGGCGGGGCCUCUGAAACACCCUUGUGAAUUAUGGAAGGCUUAGUAUAAGAAGGCUUAUGGGCCUUCUCUGGGCACAGUGGGGCUCAAGCCCAUCUGAUCUAGAAAUGACAGAGCUCACUAGAGAUGAUGGAGCUUGCAGAGCCCAGCUGACAUUUGGGUACCCUGAUAAUGGAGGUCUCUAGGCUGCCCUCUGAACACCACUGCCAGCUUCAUCUUCAGUGUUUUUGUCCUCAGCAUCAGCGUCAAUGUAAAGGGGUGAUUUAAGAGUCUUGUAUGGUCACUUCUGUGUUUUGAUUAGAACAGGCAUUUUCCCUUAAUAUUUCUCCCUUCAGUAUGUUUCUUAAGCCCAUAUAUUAUUGUUCUUAAGUUGUUUUCUAGUAUGAACUCAUUUUGUCAUUUUUGUUUCUUUUCCUCUUUCUUAGAAAUGAAUUGGCAACAAUUCUGGUUUAUUUCCUAUUCCUCUCUUCCAUUUGUCAUUCAGAUUUUUCUUUACCUGGAAAUCUCUGAAGAUUAUUUACUUCCUUAGCCUUGCACUGUGCUUUCUAAAAGCACUAUUCUAUAGGACAUCAAUUUUUAGCAUAUUUUAUGAAAAUUAGAUCAUCUUUCAUAUCCAAAAAUAUUACUGCUUCCACUUUCAGUUUUUUAAAGAAAUUUAUAUUUAAGUGUUCCACAUUUGUUCUGUUCCGUGACAACUUCACAUUCACACCCUAAGUGAAAACAAUCACUUUGGAAUUUCAUCUAAAAGCAUUAAUGCCUUCUAAAGAUUAUGCUAGUGCAAGAAUAAAUUGUUAUAACCUUUCUGUCAAGCAAUUUGCCAAUAUAGUACUUGUCAGGAGCCUUCAAAAUAUUUAUACCCUUUGCUUCAGGGAUCACACUCUAGGAAUCUUUCCACUGGAAAUAAUCAGAAAUGGGUCAAAAAUUUAUGCAUGUUUAUUGCAACAGUAUUUAUUUGAAAUAGUGACAGAUUGAAGACAACCUGAAUGCCCAGCAAAAGGAAUAUAAACUGUGACAUCCAUAUGAGAAGAGUUGUGCAGCAAUUUAAGAAUUAUGCUUUUUCCUGAAUUGGCAGUCAGUUUGUUUUUUAAAAUUUUUAAUUUUUUGCUUUUUUAAAAAAAAUUACUCAGUGAAUUUAUUACAUUUAUAGUUGUACAAUGAUCAUCACAAUCCAAUUUUAUAGGAUUUCCAUCCCACAACCCCAGUACAUCCCCCAACCCCCCCAAACUAUCUCCUUUGGAAACCAUAAGUUUUUCAAAGUCUGUGAGUCAGUAUCUGUUCUGCAAAGAAGUUCAUCUUGUCCUUUUUUCAGACUCCACAUGUCAGUGAAAGCAUUUGAUGUUGGAUUUGAUGUUGGUGUCUCAUUGUCUGACUGACUUCACUUAGCAUGAUAAUUUCUAGGUCCAUCUAUGUAGCUAAAAAUGCCGUUAUUUCUUUCCUUUUAAUGGCUGAGUAAUAUUCCAAUAGUGUAUCUGUACUACAUCUUCUUGAUCCACUCCUCUGUUGAUGGACAUUUAGGCUGUUUCCAUGUCUUGGCUACUGCAAAUAGAGCUGCAGUGAACAUCGGAAUACAUGUGUCUUUUUGAGUCAUGGUUUUCUCUAGAUAGAUGCCCAGGAGUGGGAUUGCUGGAUCAAAUGGUAGUUCUAUUUUGAGUUUUCUGAGGAAUCUCCAUACUGUUUUCCACAGUGGUUGCACCAAUUUACAAUCCCACCAACAGUGUGCUAGGGUUCCUUUUUCCCCACACCCUCUCCAGCACUUAAUUGUUUGUAGAUGUUUUGAUGAUGGCCAUUCUGGCUGGUGUAAGGUGGUACCUCAUAGUGGUUUUAAUUUGCAUUUCUCUAAUGAUGAGUGAUGUUGAACAUCUUUUCAUGUGUUUUUUGGCCAUCCGUGUGUCUUCUUUGGAGAAUUGUCUGUUGAGAUCUUCUGGCAGUCAGUUUAUUUGGAUACCCAUCCUGAAUGGGGAAGGGUCUUACCCAGCGGCUGGCUCUAGGAGUUCUGUCUUUAUAAUUCUAGGGGCCUUCAGAAUCCAUAUUUUUACUGGGGUUUCCUUGUAAUUCUGACAUGAGCACAACCUGAAACACUCCCUCCUCCACCAUAACAGGGCCUGAACUUUCACAAGAAUUGAGGAGGAGAGUAAAAAUAAUUUGUUCUUUCAAGAAAUGUUUACAGUCUGGCAAAACACUAUUUUGAAGUUAGAAUUUUUUUUAAAACUUUGCAUUAUUCCAAAUUUGUGGGGUAAGUUAAUUAUAUGCUUAGAAAAAAAUUAACACAUCAAAAUAUUUACAGCGUUUAAUCUGGGUGAUGGAAUUGUGGAUGAUUUAUGGAGAAACCAUGGUUCAGAGAGGUGAGAUAAUUUUCUUAGGUUCUCAUAGCAGCAAAAUGCUGGAGUAAAGAUUCAAACCCAGGUCUAUUUGCCUGUAAAGUCUACUCUAAUAGCUGCUGAUUGUUACUUAAAUUGAAAAACCGUAUGUAAAAGAAACACAAAUAUUAUACCCUAGGUACAGUGGAUUGAAUUAUUGGUCCCAGUUAUUCACUGUCCUGUAGGAGUGUUCAUAUUCAUACCCUUGCUGUGGCCUUAUGAUGGAUAGGAUAUAGUCCAUGCACCUUGAUUUUGGGCUUAGACAUGUAUCUUGCUUUGGCCAAAGGUUGAGGGUGCAAAUAAUGAAAGGGAAGGUUUAAAAUGGGCAAGUACAUUUGGACUUUUCUCUUGAACUCCUGCCUUUUGCUAUAUGAAUUAUGUACUUUGGGGAAGUUCUGGUCCAAGGGUAAUGAUAAAUAGUGGACAGAUAGACCCGACCUGCUGCCAAAAGCUUAAAUUUCAGCCAAUAUGAAGAUACAUAGUGAAAAAUAAAUGACUAUUGUUUUAGGUCAUUGGGUUGUGGAUUAUUAUAUUUUAUGUAGAAUUAUUUUGGCUGAUUGAUAAUGAAACAUAUAAAUGUUUAUAUUAAGUAACAAAACUGAAUCUCUUGAUAUGUCAGUACAAGUCCAAACUUGGUUAUGCAAAUGUAGGCUCUACAGGUUCUGACCAUCUGGAAAAAGGGCAUAACAAAGCCUUUUAUUUAAUGCAAACUGCCUCAUCACUUGGUAUGAAAACUGUCUCCACAGGGGAGGGAGAAAUUCACAUAGAAAUGCGUGGCGCUCUGGGAAAAAAAGGAAAACAAGCUUCAAUGUCUAAGUUUGGGGUUGGGAAAAACAGUAGAUAUGGGCCAGGCCAGAGAAGGGAUGAACAAGAAUGAAAUGAAAUGAAAUAGGCUGGGGAGUUCCUAUUGUGGCUCAGUGGUAACAAAUCUGACUAGUAUCCAUGAGGAUGAGGGUUUGAUCCCUGGCCUGGCUCAGUGGGUUAAGGAUCCUGCAUUACCAUGAGCUGUGAUGUAGGUCCCCGACACGCCUCAGAUCCUGCAUUGCUGUGGCUGUAGGCUGGCAGCUGCAGCUCCAAUUGGACCCCUAGCCUGGGAACUUCCAUAUGCCACAGGUGUGGCGCU